This 1359-nucleotide ribosomal RNA is filed under the name Triticum aestivum (bread wheat). RNAcentral describes it as "partial small subunit ribosomal RNA". The record is from RNAcentral. Lineage: Eukaryota; Viridiplantae; Streptophyta; Magnoliopsida; Poales; Poaceae.
AUGACUGGGAAGACCCCUCAUGAUGUAAGGACAAAAAAUAAUCAUGCACUACAGCACAACAUCAGGCCUCGCCCAUUGUCUGAUAAAGAUUUUAUGGUGGUGAGGAGAGUAUCUAUUGAGCACCAUGACCAACAUGUUCAGUCCCUUGAGAAGGCAGAGACACCUAUUACAUAUCAAUGGAGACUGGUCCUCUAUAAUUAUUUAAAUGAUGUUGUUUCUGCUCAAACGGUGAAGUCUAAAGAGCUACGGCGGGGUAAUGUACUGAAACAGAAUGCCAUAGCUGGGUCCUCCUCCGCUCAUCCGCUAUCACCGGAUAAUGAUAUCUCAGACACUGCCCCAUCCGAUAGCGGAAAGAGACGCAGACAAUCUACACCGCCUCAUGUGGAACAAGAAGAAAGGCUGCCCUUGAAGCGCAAACUUGAUUUCGGCCAAGAAUCCAAUUUUUCUGAACCAAUAACAUUGGAUGGUCCGUCGUUAGAUGUUGAACUCAGUAACUUUGUUAGUGAUGAAGAUUUUGGUCACGUUCUCACGGGAGAAAAGGACCAUGGCCUUGGUGACCUCUUCGAUUUAUCCGUCGAGGAUUAUACCAUUGGCGAGUGUGGCGCAAGUCGUCCACCUUCCAGCCCGAGUGUGACUGAAGUUGUGCCUCAUACCCCUAAUGCUCUUGGUUUCUUGUCAACUUUACCUGGUUGCGAACAAGAAAUUCGCCACUCACAAGACCCUAAGGUGAUGGUAAUAUCGGGAAAAGACGCACAGAUGGACUGCAGUUUCGUCAAGGACACGUUUAUGGAGGCUACAGAUUUUGUGGUAAAACGAGCCCUCGAAGGACUGAACGACUCUACCCUCGGUGAUCCCAAGCGAUGCAUCAUGCUUGAGAGCGUUUCUCAGACGCUGCCCACGCAAGUACCUGAGGUAGCUAAGGUGCAGGCCAUGUUGGUCGGGCUUAUUGACCUUUCCAAGAAGUUGGAGGUUGGCCAGACUAAGUUCACGGAGGAAUCCGAGCGAGAUGAGCAUGUUGUUGCUGAAGUAGGACUUAACAUUAAGUCUGGCCAUGAGGUUUCCAAGGUCAUAAUUGAGGACUUAUCUGCCGUAGAAAAGAAGUGCACUGAAAUGGAGGCACGUGAAGAAGAGUUGAAGGCCCAGCUUGAAGAGGUUACUGCUACUUUGCACAGGCUUAAGUUGGGAAUGGAACAAUGCCGACAAGCACAUGAUGCCCAUCAAUCUGAACAGGAGAAGUUGGUGAAGAGUGUACAGGAUACCAAUGCUGUCAAACGUGCAAGGCUUGCUGAAUUUAAACAAAAGACAGCAGAUUUAAAGACUGAAGCAAGUCAGUUGUUGAACAGCCUGCAGAACUGGUGA